RNAcentral lists this small RNA (125 nucleotides) under Marmota monax (woodchuck). Lineage: Eukaryota; Metazoa; Chordata; Mammalia; Rodentia; Sciuridae. The record is from RNAcentral.
GCCAGGUGCGGUGGUACACCCCUGUAAUCCCAUCAGCUUGGGAGGCUGAGGCAGGAGGAUUGCGAGUUCAAAGCCAGCCUCAGCAAAAGCGAGGUGCUAAGUAACUCAGUGAGACCCUGUCUCUA